This 497-nucleotide ribosomal RNA is filed under the name uncultured bacterium. RNAcentral describes it as "partial 16S ribosomal RNA". It matches the Rfam family "Bacterial small subunit ribosomal RNA", at positions 28 to 507 of the family's 1533-position model. The record is from RNAcentral.
GACGAACGCUGGCGGCGUGCCUAAUACAUGCAAGUUGAGCGCUGAAGGUUGGUACUUGUACCAACUGGAUGAGCAGCGAACGGGUGAGUAACGCGUGGGGAAUCUGCCUUUGAGCGGGGGACAACAUUUGGAAACGAAUGCUAAUACCGCAUAAAAACUUUAAACACAAGUUUUAAGUUUGAAAGAUGCAAUUGCAUCACUCAAAGAUGAUCCCGCGUUGUAUUAGCUAGUUGGUGAGGUAAAGGCUCACCAAGGCGAUGAUACAUAGCCGACCUGAGAGGGUGAUCGGCCACAUUGGGACUGAGACACGGCCCAAACUCCUACGGGAGGCAGCAGUAGGGAAUCUUCGGCAAUGGACAAAAGUCUGACCGAGCAACGCCGCGUGAGUGAAGAAGGUUUUCGGAUCGUAAAACUCUGUUGGUAGAGAAGAACGUUGGUGAGAGUGGAAAGCUCAUCAAGUGACGGUAACUACUCAGAAAGGGACGGCUAACUACGUG